UCGAACGUGAAGCAGGAGCUUGCUCCUGUGGAAAGUGGCAGACGGGUGAGUAACGCGUGGGAAUUUACCCAGUGGUUCGGAAUAACUCCGGGAAACGGGAGCUAAUACCGGAUACGCCCUUCGGGGGAAAGAUUUAUCGCCAUUGGAUGAGCCCGCGUCGGAUUAGCUUGUUGGUGAGGUAAAAGCUCACCAAGGCGACGAUCCGUAGCUGGUCUGAGAGGAUGAUCAGCCACACUGGGACUGAGACACGGCCCAGACUCCUACGGGAGGCAGCAGUGGGGAAUAUUGCGCAAUGGGGGAAACCCUGACGCAGCCAUGCCGCGUGAGUGAAGAAGGCCUUAGGGUUGUAAAACUCUUUCACCGGUGAAGAUAAUGACGGUAGCCGGAGAAGAAGCCCCGGCCAACUCCGUGCCAGCAGCCGCGGUAAUACGGAGGGGGCUAGCGUUGUUCGGAUUUACUGGGCGUAAAGCGCGCGUAGGUGGAUACUUUAGUCGGAUGUGAAAGCCCUGGGCUUAACCUAGGAACUGCAUCCGAAACUGAGUAUCUAGAGUAUGGUAGAGGGAAGUGGAAUUUCCGGUGUAGCGGUGAAAUGCGUAGAUAUCGGAAGGAACA
RNAcentral lists this ribosomal RNA (612 nucleotides) under uncultured bacterium. Its description in RNAcentral is "bacterial SSU rRNA". It matches the Rfam family "Bacterial small subunit ribosomal RNA", at positions 62 to 708 of the family's 1533-position model. The record is from RNAcentral.